This 254-nucleotide ribosomal RNA is filed under the name uncultured bacterium. Its description in RNAcentral is "partial 16S ribosomal RNA". It matches the Rfam family "Bacterial small subunit ribosomal RNA", at positions 524 to 776 of the family's 1533-position model. The record is from RNAcentral.
UACGUAGGGGGCAAGCGUUGUCCGGAUUUAUUGGGCGUAAAGAGCUCGUAGGCGGUUUGGUAAGUCGGGUGUGAAAUCUCCACGCUCAACGUGGAGGGGCCACUCGAUACUGCCAUGACUCGAGUCCGGUAGAGGAGUGUGGAAUUCCCGGUGUAGCGGUGAAAUGCGCAGAUAUCGGGAGGAACACCCGUAGCGAAGGCGGCACUCUGGGCCGGUACUGACGCUCAUGAGCGAAAGCGUGGGGAGCGAUCCGG